UGACAGGUGGAUCUCUACAAGCAAUUCAGGGACUUCCACAAGACAAUUUUAGAGGCUGCUAUUCUUUACUUGCUUCUAUUCUGACCAUAAGGAUGAAUGGAAAGUUGGGUGCCAUAACAAAAUAUUACACAACAGAUAGCUUGAACAACAGAAAUUUAUUUUCCUGCAGUUCUGGAGUCUGAAAUUCUAAGAGCAAGAGCUCCUCCCUUCUUUCUGCUUCUUCACCAGGAGGAUGUAAACAGCAUUCCUCCACUGUAUCCUUCCACCAUGCCCUUCCUGCCUUGGAGCCCACUGACUAUGGACGGAAC
This 308-nucleotide long non-coding RNA is filed under the name Heterocephalus glaber (naked mole-rat). RNAcentral describes it as "lncRNA (ENSHGLG00100045836.1)". Lineage: Eukaryota; Metazoa; Chordata; Mammalia; Rodentia; Bathyergidae. The record is from RNAcentral.